UUCUCGGCUUUCGAGAGCUGACCUUUGCGCGGCCGGCCGUGGCCUUCGCAUUUUGGAGAUGUACGGAGUUUUUAUUCGGCAGUCGUACCUGCAUAUCGUUUGCUUGAGAGCUGCUUAAUGAGCAGCUUGCGUAUUUCAUAGAGAAAUGUAAGCAAAUUUGUCGGCCUGCUGGUGGCAAGUCGGAAUGCCAAAUGGUAACACAAGCUGGGUGUUCAAGUUAUCAUACGCUUUCAUCUCGGAAAUCAAUGAUGAGAUACACGGCACCUUUUUGAAAUGAAAUUUAGCCCGAGAGGCGUUGAUGUGACUUUGGCCUCGGUCAAUUGAGGCAGCCAAAGUUGUUUGUGCUCAUACGAUUUUUGUUGGCUACAGGCGAGAUACCUUGCUAUAGAGAAUGAUAUAUAGUACCUAUAACGCGUUUCAGCCGGGCGAGAUAUUAUAUUUGGUCCGUUACACACACACGCACACACGCACACACGCACACACACACGGACAUGGGCAAUCCUACAGGUCGGGGCCCCCCUGGGCGCUUCGCGCUGGGCCCCGCCCAAAAAGGCCCUACACGCUGCUCAGCAACGACAGGCUCAGCAUGCCAACAAGCAUCGCCGACCAGCCCACUUCCAAGUCGGGCAGUACGUCCUGCUAAACUCUAAGAACAUAAUGUUCAAGGCACCUAAUGCCAACGGACGCGGCAAGUUCAUGCCACGGUUCAUUGGACCUUUUCCCAUCCUAAGCAUGGUGGGCGAGUCUGCAGUCCACCUGCAACUCCCGGAGGCAUUGCGCAUGCACAAUGUCUUCCACGUGUCCCUGCUGCGACAGUUUAAACAAAGCAGCAACGCACCACCUCCACCAGUGGUCCCUGCAGUGGAAGGCGACCCUAUGUGGUUCGCCGAAGAAAUCCACGCACACCGUGCGAGCGGCUCUGGCCGUCACCACCUCGUCGAGUACUUGGUCCGCUGGCAGAACCACGGCCCCCAGUACGACUCCUGGGAGAUGGCCCAAGCUCCUUCAUAGUAUGGAGAUGGUAGAAUCUUCAAGCAACUUUUGAACGACCAGGGAGAGUUGCUGAUAGGCGAAUUUGUAUGAAGCUAUAAAAUUCCUUUAUUCCUUCAAGGUAAGUGAAUGCUUAUGUAUUCGUCUGUUAGUAGCGUGAAGCUUUGAACACUCUUUGUACGGCAGAUUCGGCACAAUGUUUUGCCUCAUUGCGAUGUUGCCUGAAAAUUUUAAACAGAAGGGAUCACUGCUCAUGCUGGUGCAGCAAGACAUGUAAGGAGAUGGCCUGGUCACAAUCCAGCAGUCAUAUAUCGACAAUCUCAAGCUAUGACAACUUGUUACAUGUGUCUGUAAUAAAAAAGGGACUUUGCGAUGGUGUGGGGAGCUCUUUGAGUGGUGGGACUGUGGAAAUCCAGUUUGUUUCGCCCGUAACAAGUUUGUUACGGGCGAAACAACGUCCCUCUGAAACGUUUGGAUAUGCCUAUGCAACACAUUUCCUCAAUUUCAUGAACUGCAAGUAUUCUAAUCCAACAUCACCCCAAUCUCAGUGUAAACUAGUCUCCAAAUGUGCCUGCACAAGACUGUCACCCCUGUCACCCGGCAUUCACAUUGCC
Molecule: long non-coding RNA, 1604 nt
Filed under: Volvox carteri
Lineage: Eukaryota; Viridiplantae; Chlorophyta; Chlorophyceae; Chlamydomonadales; Volvocaceae
Description: long non-coding RNA (VCAR_LNC002037)
Source: RNAcentral